UUAAGAACGGGGUAACAGUGCUGAGCUCUUGUUUGUAUACCAAGCAUUUUGGCAAAAAAAACUGCUAAAAAAAUAUGGGAAUGAGAUGUUGUUUUUAGAUGCAACAUACAAAACGACACGAUAUUCUUUACCUUUGUUUUUUUGGGUUGUCAAAACAAAAGUGGAUUAUCAAACUGUAGCAACCUUUGUAAGCGAAAGUGAAACUUUUGAAUCGAUAUCUGAAGCACUUGUUAUCUUAAAGUCUUGGAAUGAAGAUUUGCAACCUCUUUAUUGCAUGACUGAUUAUUGUAAUGCUGAGAUACGUGCUCUCGAAACUAUUUUUAUUGGAUGUAAGGUAUUUAUAUGUGACUUUCACAGAGAACAGUCUUGGGACCGUUGGCUAUAAAAGCUAUCAAGUGGUUGCUCUAACAGAAAAGAUGAUAUUUUAUGUAUUUUAAGACGACUCGCUUGGUCAAAGUCAAUUGACGAGGAAGAAAAUGCUCAAAGAAUAUUGGAACAGUCUGAAUUCUGGAGUCAAGAAAGCUUUACUAAGUUUAAACAAUAUAUAGAAAAGUAUUGGCUCCCAAUUAAAUAAAGGUGGGUUUGGUGGUACAGGCAGGAUUGUCUUCUUAUCAAUUGCAAUACAAACAAUGGUGUGGAAAGGCAGAAUGAGUCUUUUAAAUAUACUUAUUUACAGCGACAUAAAAACUCAUCAUUGACUGGAAUGUUAACUUUGCUUAUUGAUGACUUCUUCAUUGAUAAACUUGACAGCUAUACUGAUUCCAGCUUUAAAAUGGAUGCACGUUACAGAAGGUAUGCACGUUGUGUGCCAAGUUAUCU
Non-coding RNA from Hydra vulgaris (swiftwater hydra), 819 nucleotides. NCBI's taxonomy places the organism in Eukaryota, Metazoa, Cnidaria, Hydrozoa, Anthoathecata, Hydridae. The record is from RefSeq and is a predicted model, not a curated record.